Molecule: long non-coding RNA, 752 nt
Organism: Pseudophryne corroboree (corroboree frog)
Lineage: Eukaryota; Metazoa; Chordata; Amphibia; Anura; Myobatrachidae
Exons: 6
Source: RefSeq, a predicted model, not a curated record
UAAGACCUAUAUGGAUGACAAUUUCAUGCUGUACAGAGCAUAGGGUAGAUUUCCCAUGCUACACCUUGGAUAUACACUUAUUUAGAUCUAUUCGAUCAACCAAUCAUUAGAGCAUAGGAAGUGAGGUAAUUCACUCCUAGGUAUAAAUAGGCCAGAUAUAGCCUCUCCAGUUCACUUACCAUCCAGGAGAGGAGGCUGACACACAUCCAGAACCUUUUAGUCUGCUUUCCUCACUGGACAUUUUGUUUGGUGUUAUUGGCUUGACUUUAAAAUCCCUUGUGAACUUUCAUUAAUCUUGGAGGACACAAUCUAAUUGGUCAUUUGCCCCAUAAUUAAAUAAAGUACCUACAAGGAACCACAAUUAAGGAGCAGCUGAUUAGAAGUUCACGAGAGUUUUUAGUAUCAUUAUAGAUAUAUAUCACGUUUUAACACUCUUCACAGUGAGAUCAUCUUGUAGGAAAUUUGCUAAAGCAUUAUUCCACUGUGACUUGUACCCCUGAUGAAGUCCAUAAUGGACGAAACGCGUUGGGUUUUAUGAGAUAUAUAUAGCAUACACUGUUUCUGCAUAAAUGUGUAUUGUGCUUAUGGAACAACGUGUAUGACAAAUUUUAACGUGUAUUAAAAAUAAUCUUUCUAUCAUUCCGGUUAUGCUGGUUGGAUUUUACUUUGAGUAAUUAUUUCAAUUUUAAUUAUGCCAUUGUAUCUGUGCGCACUCUGAAUAUUUGUGUUAUAUUUUAUCUAUCGUCUCCCAC